Bison bison bison is the source of this 132-nucleotide small nucleolar RNA. Its record names the gene SNORA71. It matches the Rfam family "Small nucleolar RNA SNORA71". Rfam says of the family: The members of this family belong to the H/ACA class of snoRNAs which bind a number of proteins (including dyskerin, Gar1p and Nop10p) to form snoRNP complexes. This class of snoRNAs are thought to guide the sites of modification of uridines to pseudouridines by forming direct base pairing interactions with substrate RNAs. This family includes U71 (SNORA71), ACA39 (SNORA39) and ACA60 (SNORA60). Lineage: Eukaryota; Metazoa; Chordata; Mammalia; Artiodactyla; Bovidae. The record is from Ensembl.
UCCUGCAUCGAAAGUGAUUGUGGGCUGCCCGUGCCCUGGUCAUCGAUACUGCAGGGAGAGGAGUCUCUGAAAGACCUUUCCCCGUGUUUGAAGGGCCCAGCCGUCCCUUCCAAACCCUGGAGCUUUCACACA